UACGUAGGGGGCAAGCGUUGUCCGGAUUUAUUGGGCGUAAAGAGCGUGUAGGCGGCCAGGUAGGUCUGCUGUGAAAACUCGAGGCUUAACCUCGAGAUGUCGGCGGAAACCAUCUGGCUAGAGUCCGGAAGAGGAGAAUGGAAUUCCUGGUGUAGCGGUGAAAUGCGCAGAUAUCAGGAAGAACACCCGUGGCUAAGGCGGCUCUCUAGUACGGUACUGACGCUGAGACGCGAAAGCGUGGGGAGCGAACAGG
RNAcentral lists this ribosomal RNA (253 nucleotides) under uncultured bacterium. Its description in RNAcentral is "partial 16S ribosomal RNA". It matches the Rfam family "Bacterial small subunit ribosomal RNA", at positions 524 to 776 of the family's 1533-position model. The record is from RNAcentral.